RNAcentral lists this transfer RNA (98 nucleotides) under Nocardioides luteus. RNAcentral's name for it is "tRNA-Ser". The record is from RNAcentral. Lineage: Bacteria; Bacillati; Actinomycetota; Actinomycetes; Propionibacteriales; Nocardioidaceae.
CGAGGCCUUCGUCAACCGGUCCAUGUCCUCGAGGUUGCUGACCUCGAAGGACUGCACCAGGACCGGUGAGUCGUGCCGGUCGUACCCGUAGCGCUUGA